This 277-nucleotide ribosomal RNA is filed under the name uncultured prokaryote. Its description in RNAcentral is "partial 16S ribosomal RNA". It matches the Rfam family "Bacterial small subunit ribosomal RNA", at positions 524 to 801 of the family's 1533-position model. The record is from RNAcentral.
UACGUAGGGGGCGAGCGUUAUCCGGAAUUAUUGGGCGUAAAGAGUGCGUAGGUGGUUGUUUAAGCGUGGGGUGAAAGGCAAUGGCUUAACCAUUGUGAGCCUCGCGAACUGGGCGACUUGAGUGCAGGAGAGGAAAGCGGAAUUCCUAGUGUAGCGGUGAAAUGCGUAGAUAUUAGGAGGAACACCGGUGGCGAAGGCGGCUUACUGGACUGUAACUGACGCUGAGUCACGAAAGCGUGGGUAGCAAACAGGAUUAGAUACCCGCGUAGUCCCUGAG